This 253-nucleotide ribosomal RNA is filed under the name uncultured bacterium. Its description in RNAcentral is "partial 16S ribosomal RNA". It matches the Rfam family "Bacterial small subunit ribosomal RNA", at positions 524 to 776 of the family's 1533-position model. The record is from RNAcentral.
UACGUAGGGUGCGAGCGUUGUCCGGAAUUAUUGGGCGUAAAGAGCUCGUAGGCGGUUUGCCACGUCUGCUGUGAAAUCCCGAGGCUCAACCUCGGGCCUGCAGUGGGUACGGGCAGACUGGAGUGCGGUAGGGGAGAAUGGAAUUCCUGGUGUAGCGGUGGAAUGCGCAGAUAUCAGGAGGAACACCGAUGGCGAAGGCAGUUCUCUGGGCCGUAACUGACGCUGAGGAGCGAAAGCGUGGGGAGCGAACAGG